This 3311-nucleotide long non-coding RNA is filed under the name Sus scrofa (pig). RNAcentral's name for it is "lncRNA (ENSSSCG00000054610.1)". Lineage: Eukaryota; Metazoa; Chordata; Mammalia; Artiodactyla; Suidae. The record is from RNAcentral.
GCCUUUCUUGUCCUUUACAUCUGCAAAUGGCCCUAGUUUUAGAAGGUAGCAAAAUGCUUUGGAUAAGGGAAGGGGUGGGGAGUUCUGAAUUCUUUUCGUGGUUCUGCCUUAACGUGAGUGUGAAGUUAAUCGAGGUGUGACCCUUCCCGGGCCUCUCUUUUCGUCUGUGAGGGGGCAGACUGAUCCUCCACUCCAUACCACCCCUGUCCACUUUAGAAGAGAUGAAACUGUCCAACAGCUCCAAUACUCCUGUCCUUCAUUCCCAGCUCCCAAAUUCUUGCCCCUUCUCUCCCCGCCAACGCCUUCACACCAGGGGUAAUCUCUGUCCUUCCAACAUCCCGGCUACUGUCUGUCUUUCUCUCAGUAGUAACCACUUUCCAAGUAAUAUAGCUACUUGAGCAUGUUCUCUACUUUUGCUGAAGAUUGUGAGGUCCUAGAGAGCAAAGUCCAGUGCAGGUUUAUUUUUAUAUUUCUGGUUUCUCUAAUGGUAAGUCCUCAAUAAAGAUUUGUUGAAGGAAUGAAUCUUCUAUAACCAUGUACAGCAGCUGCCCUAAUGGGAGGCUCAGUGUAGGCUGGAACCUGUGACAGGUUCUCUUCCUCAUAUCAUAUCUGAAUUUAACCAUCAGUUAGAAGGGUGUUUGCAGUGAGAAAAAUGAUGUUCUGAGAGGUUACAUGACUUCCCUGAAGUCCCACAGCUCUUAAGUGGUGGAAACCUGUUUGAACUCAUGUCUAUUACCCGCUUUGUCUUAGCAAUGACAAAAAUUAAUGUGUGAUCUGCAUACCAAGGACUUGGAAAGGAAACAAAUUUUAUAGUUAACUAUGGGGAUGCAAAUUUUUCCCUAUUUAAUUUUAUCAUUAAAGCAUCUUUCCUUUCUCCUUUCAAGGAAUCUGGAUUCUGCAAAGAAUGGACUUUGGGAGCUGGGAUUGUGUCUAAGACUAGAGACAGGAAGUAAAAGAACAGAAUUCUUUCUUUCUGGUUUGAAGCUAACUCUCAAGGUCAGACUGGCUCAGUCACCAGGCUAUAGUCUCUUGUGAGCCUCUUGCUUGAAGAAAGUUGAUUAAAAAAAGAAACUCAUGGCUUUGCCUACAUUGUACUUGAUGACAUGGAAAACAAAGCUAUGUCUGUAAUAUUGUCUUUUUCUCUGUACCCCCUUCUCCUACUUCUUACCUCAUCUUCUCACCCUUUUGUACCUUUGCAUAUGCUAUUCACUUACCUGAAAUGAUUUUCUCUUCCUUUCCUGUAUUCCAUUAGGUAAACUCCUGGUUGUCCUUUAAAACUCAGCCUAAAGUCAUUUCCACUGUAACGACUUCUUGGACCCAAACUAUCCAAGUAGUUGUGCCCAUAGCUCUUGAUUCUAUAGCUUAUAAUAUAACACCCUGUAAUUAUUGCUUUAGUUUUGCUUCCCCUAACUAUUUAUCUUAGUACUGCUAGGAUGUGUCAUAGUUUCUAGCUCUGAGUAGGUACUCUGUAUGUAUUUGUUGAAUAGCAGAAUGAACAAAUGAACCCAGGCACAGACCUAUAGUAGAUGCUUAGUAAGUCAUCUCGGAAGAGCUUAACAAACUUGCUUAAUUCUCAACCUAUAGAUCUAUCUGGAUAAGUGGUAAGUAAUUACGCAUGACUACUUUGAGUUCACAUUUUAAUCUCCCCUUUUAAUUUGUCAGACUUUGGUAGGAGAGUUGGGUAGCAAUGGGUAUUUCAAACAUUUCCACCAUGUAGCCUGAAUUGCAAGAGAGAGGGAAUGAAUAAUUCAGGGUGGCCAAGUGACAUUUAUUUAAAAUCUCAUGUUUUAUUUAGCUUUUUCUUUUUAACUUCAUAGCGUAUCUCUUAUAUAAAAUGAAUAGUUGUUUCCACUCACCUCCAAAGAGCCGUUUGAUUCUGUGCUUGAGUAUCCUUGGGAGCCCCUUAGACUCCAGUGAGAGAAGUUUUGGGCAGUCAUGAAUUCCUGACUAUCAUCCGUAGUGUGACUUGGUCUGUGGUUUAUGCAUCUGUAGGAGGAGGGUUUGGAGGUCACAAUCUCUAAGGCUCUUUCAUCUCUCCAGAGCAGGGACUUCGAGGCCAGCGCUUACUGUAUUGGUGGUGGAAGGAGUUGGAUUGUGUACAUUGACUUAUUGUUUGUCUUGGAUUGGAAAUAAAAUCCUGUUUAUGAAGAGGUGAAGUUGUUCAUUUGUAAGAAAACUCACACAUGUGUUGAGUUUUCAUACAAUUUUUCUAUCUAUGAUUAGUUUCAGUUGGAUCUUAAUCAUCACAUCAGUUCUUGCAAUGUACCUAUUAUAACAAAAUCACAUUGAAUUGUUUGCUAUAAGCACAAAAGUUUGUUACAGUGGAAUUUACCUAUCCUACUCGUUAAUAUGUGACCUAUUUAGAGUGAAUAUUUUUAAAUCUGAAGGACUUCUGUGUCAUGUAACUAUGCUCAUGGUUACUUUUGUCACAGAACUUCAAAAGAGUAUGACCCACAAGGAUUGCUAAUUAUGUUUUGCUGACAAACUAAAGUUCAUAAAAUUCAUAAGUUUAUUCUACCUUAGAAGUAUAAAAAUAUCUGUCACUACAACUCAGAAAUCCUAAUAAAGCUUUCCAAAAUUCUAGAACAGAACUUAUAUUACAAGGUGCAGAAAUAGCAUUUGGGAAGCUUUAAAAACAAAGACCCCUGGGACACUCUUUCCAAAGUGAUUUUGAUUCAGUUAGUAUGGUUCAGGGCCUAGAAAUUUGCAUUUUCCCAAGCACCUCAUAUGUGAUUUUGAUGCAUGGGGUUCCCAGCGCACAAUUUAUGAAACACUAAAAUGGAAAUUCUAGUGUUAUAUUUGCCUUGGGAAGACAAAGCUCAUGAAUCUUUACUAGACUCUGAGUGAAGCCCAAGAAUUAUGGUGCAUUGUUAAAGAAGCCUGGUAUAUAUAUGCAUAUGCAUACAAAUAGUAUUUUGUUUGUGUGUGUGUAAAUGAGUGAGUGUGUGUAAAUGAGUGUGUGUGGAAAAUUGCUCAGUCAGUCAUAACUGUUUUUCUGUUAAGUGGCAAUUUGCUUAAGUUUUUUCUUUCGGGGGGGGCAGUGAGCAAUUUUAUAAGAUCAUGGAUCCUAUUUUUCUUCAUGUCUUACUGAAUCAAAACUCAACAGCACUUGAUAUCACACUAAGACAUUGGAGUUAGAAGAAGUCAGUGAAAUAAUUUACAAAACCUCAAGUAGAAUAAGCAAGAUUUUCUGAUUCUUGGACACAUAUCCUACUAGAACCAUAACUGAUACUUCUUCCUCUUAAAAGCAGCAGUUUUACCUUUCCCUCAGAAGAAAGGUGAAUGUAAGGGCAGAGGAAGAAAAAACUGUG